Molecule: ribosomal RNA, 252 nt
Filed under: uncultured bacterium
Lineage: Bacteria
Description: partial 16S ribosomal RNA
Rfam family: Bacterial small subunit ribosomal RNA
Source: RNAcentral
CCUGGUGGCGAGUGGCGAACGGGUGAGUAAUAUAUCGGAACGUGCCCUAGAGUGGGGGAUAGCUCGGCGAAAGCCGGAUUAAUACCGCAUACGAUCUAAGGAUGAAAGUGGGGGAUCGCAAGACCUCAUGCUCGUGGAGCGGCCGAUAUCUGAUUAGCUAGUUGGUAGGGUAAAAGCCUACCAAGGCAUCGAUCAGUAGCUGGUCUGAGAGGACGACCAGCCACACUGGAACUGAGACACGGUCCAGACUCC